This is a small nucleolar RNA of Lampris incognitus (smalleye Pacific opah), 212 nucleotides long. RefSeq annotates it as small nucleolar RNA U3. NCBI's taxonomy places the organism in Eukaryota, Metazoa, Chordata, Actinopteri, Lampriformes, Lampridae. The transcript has a single exon. The record is from RefSeq and is a predicted model, not a curated record.
AAGACUAUUCUUUCAGGGAUCAUUUCUAUAGUUAACUUGAGAAAUGUGUUUCUUAAGUGUGAGUCCCGCCACCCAUGAUGAUGAGUUGUGGUGCUACGUCCUGAGCGCGAAGCGGGUACAGAGAAGUGAUUUAAUCACAAGCUCCGUACCAUAGAUGACUGUUCAAUGUUCCUUUAUGGGAACAUCAAGGGAAGGAGCAUGUUCAAAGUGAA